Molecule: small RNA, 29 nt
Filed under: Bombyx mori (domestic silkworm)
Lineage: Eukaryota; Metazoa; Arthropoda; Insecta; Lepidoptera; Bombycidae
Description: ovarian small RNA-30849
Source: RNAcentral
UGAACUUCCAGUCAAAUAUCACGCAGCGA